RNAcentral lists this ribosomal RNA (332 nucleotides) under uncultured bacterium. Its description in RNAcentral is "bacterial SSU rRNA". It matches the Rfam family "Bacterial small subunit ribosomal RNA", at positions 568 to 898 of the family's 1533-position model. The record is from RNAcentral.
UGUGUAGGCGGCCGCAUAAGUCGGAUGUGAAAGCCCUGGGCUCAACCCAGGAAGUGCACUCGAUACUGCGCGGCUUGAGUACCGGAGAGGUUGGUAGAAUUCUCGGUGUAGAGGUGAAAUUCGUAGAUAUCGAGAGGAAUACCUGUGGCGAAGGCGGCCAACUGGACGAGUACUGACGCUGAGACACGAAAGCGUGGGGAGCAAACAGGAUUAGAUACCCUGGUAGUCCACGCCGUAAACGAUGGGUGCUAGGUGUCGCAGGCUUUGACUCCUGCGGUGCCGUAGCUAACGCAUUAAGCACCCCGCCUGGGAAGUACGGCCGCAAGGCUAAA